Molecule: non-coding RNA, 144 nt
Filed under: Chlorocebus sabaeus (green monkey)
Lineage: Eukaryota; Metazoa; Chordata; Mammalia; Primates; Cercopithecidae
Source: Rfam by way of RNAcentral
GCCAGGCAUGGUGGCGCAUGCCUGUAAUCCCAGCUACUCGGGAGGCUGAGGCAGGAGAAUUGCUUGAACCCAGGAGGUGGAGGUUGCAGUGGAGAUUGCGCCACUGCACUCUAGCCUGGGCGACAGAGCAAGACCCCACCUCCA